This 500-nucleotide ribosomal RNA is filed under the name uncultured bacterium. Its description in RNAcentral is "partial 16S ribosomal RNA". It matches the Rfam family "Bacterial small subunit ribosomal RNA", at positions 30 to 523 of the family's 1533-position model. The record is from RNAcentral.
AUUGAACGCUGGCGGCAGGCCUAACACAUGCAAGUCGAGCGGAUGACGGGAGCUUGCUCCUUGAUUCAGCGGCGGACGGGUGAGUAAUGCCUAGGAAUCUGCCUGGUAGUGGGGGACAACGUUUCGAAAGGAACGCUAAUACCGCAUACGUCCUACGGGAGAAAGCAGGGGACCUUCGGGCCUUGCACUAUCAGAUGAGCCUAGGUCGGAUUAGCUAGUUGGUAGGGUAAUGGCUCACCAAGGCGACGAUCCGUAACUGGUCUGAGAGGAUGAUCAGACACACUGGAACUGGGACACGGGACAGACUCCUACGGGAGGCAGCAGUGAGGAAUAUUGGACAAUGGGCGAAAGCCUGAUCCAGCCAUGCCGCGUGUGUGAAGAAGGUCUUCGGAUUGUAAAGAACUUUAAGUUGGGAGGAAGGGCAGUAAGCUAAUACCUUGCUGUUUUGACGUUACCGACAGAAUAAGCACCGGCUAACUCUGUGCCAGCCGCCGCCGUAA